Anguilla rostrata (American eel) is the source of this 3128-nucleotide RNA transcript. It is a transcript of the gene named tripartite motif containing 44, with no coding region annotated. Lineage: Eukaryota; Metazoa; Chordata; Actinopteri; Anguilliformes; Anguillidae. The transcript has 6 exons. The record is from RefSeq and is a predicted model, not a curated record.
AGUUUGUCUCUCUCUUACUCUCUCUCACACACACACGCACACACACACACACACUCACUCACUUUCUGUCCACGCUCAUUUGUUGUUUCACUCUCCAGACGAAGCAGGAAGUUGGAGGAGAAAAAAAGAGAAAGCGACGCACAGGCGCACACACGCAGCGCGUACACAGAGGGGAGAGCUGAACCAGGAAGUGAGCGAGCGCUCGGCUGGUCUGCAGUGAAAGCUCACAGCGUCAGGCGCAGUUUCGGAGUGUUCUCAGCGUCUGAGUCUGCCAAACGGACCGUAGUCCACCUCCCCCCCGCCGCCGUCCCACCGGGCCCGUCGCCACGGAGACACGCAGCCGCGCACUGCCGCCUGUGCAGACAGACAGAACGACCAGCGGCCUGCGCAAGUCUGCACACAGGACAGCUACUUGGCAGUGCCCCCCCUUGCAGUUGUGGGAUGAACGGAACAGACGGAGGGGCCAUGGAGUUUGGACAGGAAGGGGAGGAGCUACCGCUGAGUGACGGGACGUGUGACGCCUGCGAGCCGGACGAGGCGGAGCCGGCCUCCCAGAUGUGCCACGCCUGCGGCUUCGCUUUCUGCGCCGUGCACGCCGAGAAGCAUCAGCGCAGCACCCGGCAUGCGCUGGCGCCGUACAGACCAGAGGAGGAGCCUGCAGCCGAACGCCACGGCGACGGGGCGCAGGGGGCGCAGGGGGGCGGGAUGGAGGAGGGCGUGGCGGGAGGGGGUGCGGAAGAAGAGGAGGAGAGGCCAGCCCCCCAGGAGGGAGGGAAGAGCAGGGACACUGUGACGGUGGAGCGGCUGCGCUGUACGGAACAUGGCCAGGAGGGGUCGCUGUACUGCAAAAACGACGAGAAGAUCGUGUGCGUGGUGUGUGCCGUGCAAGGGGAGCACAACACCCACGAGAUCAUCACCCUACGGGAGGCCUACCUGUGGCAGAAGAGUAAAGGGGGAGUGGACCUGCUGGGCUCCACACAGGAAAUGGCGGAGAGGAUCAAGUCGAAGUGGACCAGCCCAGACAUGAGCACGGAGCAGCUGGAGUGCUAUGUGAACCAGCAGUUUGACGCGCUGCACAGGCUGGUGCGGCUGGAGGAGCGGCGCACGCUGCACCUGGUGGACCUGAAGGAGGCCUUCCUCACCGCACAGGCCGCAGAGAAGAUGGCCGAGAUCAGCGUCCACACCGAGCGGCUGCAGGCCGAGAUGGACUCCAUUACCCAGCAGCUCGGGGCCCUGGACCAGGGGGAGGAGCCUGCCGCCAACCCCGUCCCCAUGGCAGUGGAAGCCCGGCCGAGGUAAGAGGAGGAGGCGGAGCCGUCCCAGAAGCCUUUAGGGCCGCGUUUCGCUCAGCCUGUCGGGCCCGAGCCUGAGCCCAGACAGGACCCACCGGGGGACUACAGGGACGGUGGUCCGGGCUCAUUCAUGGGACACGCCCCCUGACGACAAGCCACACCCCCUUGACGACCAGCUGCCUCCUCCCCUGCACCUGUGAGGCCUACUGUGACUCCUGUGACAUCAGAGCAACUGACCAGGAACUGGUGAUUUUAAAAGAGACGUCUUUUCCACUCUUCAUCCUAUUUUUAUUUAAAUCUAAAAUCUUUUUAAAAUCUUGAUUUUGUGUUUUCCGGGCUUGAAAAUUAUGGUUGUGUUUCAUGUAAUCACACUUUGGGCUUACAGUGUAAAUCUCACAUUUUCCCUCAGUCUAGUCAGGCUGUUAAUCUGGCUGAGUUACUGUAUAAUUGGGUCCACAUGUUGUACUGAUCAGUACUGUGACAGAUGCUUAUAAAUCCAGUGGGUGUAAAAAGUCAAAGUGGAAUUUAGGAAGGAAUAAAAAAUUUGCGCUUUCCAGCACAGAAAAUGUUUAAUGAUUUGAGGGACCUCAAUUAAGACAAAAACUUAAUUGGGAAAGAAAAACUUCUGAGAAUUUGUUGUAAAUACUUGUUAAUUACACAUAGAAAUGUGAUUUUAUUUUGUGUGUUUGAAGUUCACAAAAUGCUUGUCAUGUUUGCAGUUAAGAACUUCACCAGACUGUCAUGCUUUAUUUUUUGCUUGGUGUUCCCCUAUGAAUAGGUGUAUGCAUCCCUGAAAUUGAUUUUGGAUAACAGGUUUGACCAAGAUUCAGGCUGUAAAAUAAAACAUUGAUGUGCAAAAAAAGACAUUUAAAUGCUGCAUCUUUAAUGGGAAGCCGGAAGCUUUGGAGAUAAAUCCCAAAUUAUGAAAAGUGAAAAGGCCGUUCUGGUUAUUUUCCGUCCUGCUGAUAGAUACAAGGCCUGUCCCAGACGGGCCUCGGGGUACUGGGUUUUGGUGCCGUCCCACCAUAUGAUUGGUGAAUCAACUCAAAUCAUCAGAUACUACAGGACUUCAGCUUCAGCAUUCAGCUCAGAGUCGCAGAAAGCCUCGCUUCUUUGGAGAUUCACAGUCAGCAGAUGGUGCUUCCCUUUUAGCUGAGAUGACAUGCGAGGGAAGCUGAAUGCUUUUAAUGGAAAUUAUGCUAAUAACAGGAAUAUGUGACUGCUCCCACCUGAUAUGCUGGCAUUAUCUUUACUGGCUCAGACCUGGCUCCUGCAUAUGCCAGCAAACAGCCUUCAUCUGGCUGAGAAAGCAGGCUGUUUAUCACAGCCAGACACAAAUCAGUCUUUACUGAAACCUCGCCCUUUUCUAACAUCAAAUAUUUUAUUUUUAACAUCAAAUAUUUAACAUCUGUUCUGGCUGUGUGGCAGUUCUAUUUCAAAGAUACGUCAGCUAUGUGCCUGGAUGAAAUGUCGGGGUUGUGCUAUUUUCUUUCACUGUUUUUGUCACGUUUUCAAAGCUGAAUCAGAACUGGAAAGUGCAUGCUGGGAUGGUUUUUCUGUCUCCGCUCUGGCAGCGCUCUGGGGGAGUUGAUUGUGUGAUUGUGGAGUGAUUUUAAAAACCCUGCCUGAGUUGGAGGACAGCUGCUGAACGGUGUCACAUGGUCGAGGCCACACAAAUCUGUGGCUCUAUAUGUGGAAGAGGAAAUGACAGGUCUGUUUCUGAAGUGAAGAAAAAAGACUUCAGAACAUCGAGUCAAACAUUAUUUUCUUUUCUUUUCUGCUGUUUUUUUUGUUUUAUUUUUGAAAAUAAAGUUAAAAUAAUGUAGCAUUACAAGA